This 1115-nucleotide ribosomal RNA is filed under the name Salmonella enterica subsp. enterica serovar Typhimurium. RNAcentral describes it as "partial 23S ribosomal RNA". It matches the Rfam family "Bacterial large subunit ribosomal RNA", at positions 711 to 1739 of the family's 2925-position model. The record is from RNAcentral. Lineage: Bacteria; Pseudomonadati; Pseudomonadota; Gammaproteobacteria; Enterobacterales; Enterobacteriaceae.
AGACCCGAAACCCGGUGAUCUAGCCAUGGGCAGGUUGAAGGUUGGGUAACACUAACUGGAGGACCGAACCGACUAAUGUUGAAAAAUUAGCGGAUGACCUGUGGCUGGGGGUGAAAGGCCAAUCAAACCGGGAGAUAGCUGGUUCUCCCCGAAAGCUAUUUAGGUAGCGCCUCGUGAAUUCAUCUCCGGGGGUAGAGCACUGUUUCGGCUAGGGGGCCAUCCCGGCUUACCAACCCGAUGCAAACUGCGAAUACCGGAGAAUGUUAUCACGGGAGACACACGGCGGGUGCUAACGUCCGUCGUGAAGAGGGAAACAACCCAGACCGCCAGCUAAGGUCCCAAAGUCAUGGUUAAGUGGGAAACGAUGUGGGAAGGCCCAGACAGCCAGGAUGUUGGCUUAGAAGCAGCCAUCAUUUAAAGAAAGCGUAAUAGCUCACUGGUCGAGUCGGCCUGCGCGGAAGAUGUAACGGGGCUAAACCAUGCACCGAAGCUGCGGCAGCGAACGUAUCACCCAAGACAACUUUACGGAGUUGACGAUUGACGGAGCGAAGCGACGUCAAAGCGUUCAUUAAAGUCGAGUUGGCUUAGGGAUACGUUCGUUGGGUAGGGGAGCGUUCUGUAAGCCUGUGAAGGUGUGUCGUGAGGCAUGCUGGAGGUAUCAGAAGUGCGAAUGCUGACAUAAGUAACGAUAAAGCGGGUGAAAAGCCCGCUCGCCGGAAGACCAAGGGUUCCUGUCCAACGUUAAUCGGGGCAGGGUGAGUCGACCCCUAAGGCGAGGCCGAAAGGCGUAGUCGAUGGGAAACGGGUUAAUAUUCCCGUACUUGGUGUUACUGCGAAGGGGGGACGGAGAAGGCUAUGUUGGCCGGGCGACGGUUGUCCCGGUUUAAGGGUGUAGGUGUGUGUUCCAGGUAAAUCCGGUUCACUUUAACACUGAGGCGUGACGACGAGGCACUACGGUGCUGAAGCAACAAAUGCCCUGCUUCCAGGAAAAGCCUCUAAGCAUCAGGUAACACGAAAUCGUACCCCAAACCGACACAGGUGGUCAGGUAGAGAAUACCAAGGCGCUUGAGAGAACUCGGGUGAAGGAACUAGGCAAAAUGGUGCCGUAACUUCGG